Molecule: ribosomal RNA, 795 nt
Filed under: uncultured Methanogenium sp.
Lineage: Archaea; Methanobacteriati; Methanobacteriota; Methanomicrobia; Methanomicrobiales; Methanomicrobiaceae
Description: bacterial SSU rRNA
Rfam family: Archaeal small subunit ribosomal RNA
Source: RNAcentral
UUUCCGGUUGAUCCUGCCGGAGGCCACUGCUAUCGGGGUUCGAUUAAGCCAUGCGAGUCGAGAGGGUUCAGACCCUCGGCGGACUGCUCAGUAACACGUGGAUAACCUGCCCUAAGGUGGAGGAUAACCCCGGGAAACUGGGGAUAAUACUCCAUAGAUUAGAGAUACUGGAAUGUUCUUUAGUCAAAAGUUCCGGCGCCUUAGGAUGGAUCUGCGGUCGAUUAGGUUGUUGUUGGGGUAACGGCCCAACAAGCCUGUAAUCGAUACGGGUUGUGGGAGCAAUAGCCCGGAGAUGGAAUCUGAGACAAGAUUCCGGGCCCUACGGGGCGCAGCAGGCGCGAAAACUUUACAAUGCAGGAAACUGUGAUAAGGGAACCCCGAGUGCCCGUAUACGCGGGCUGUCCAGGUGUUUAAAAGUCAUCUGAAGAAAGGGCCGGGCAAGACCGGUGCCAGCCGCCGCGGUAAUACCGGCGGCUCGAGUGGUGGCCACUAUUAUUGGGCUUAAAGCGUCCGUAGCUGGACUGAUAAGUCUCUUGGGAAAUCCGCCGGCUCAACCGGCGGGCGUCUAAGGGAUACUGUUGGUCUAGGGACCGGGAGAGGUGAGAGGUACUCCGGGGGUAGGAGUGAAAUCCUGUAAUCCCCGGGGGACCACCGAUGGCGAAGGCAUCUCACCAGAACGGCUCCGACAGUGAGGGACGAAAGCUGGGGGAGCAAACCGGAUUAGAUACCCGGGUAGUCCCAGCCGUAAACUAUGCGCGUUAGGUGUGCUGGUGACCACGUGUCACCGGGGUGCCG